RNAcentral lists this ribosomal RNA (447 nucleotides) under uncultured Anaerolineaceae bacterium. RNAcentral's name for it is "bacterial SSU rRNA". It matches the Rfam family "Bacterial small subunit ribosomal RNA", at positions 919 to 1382 of the family's 1533-position model. Lineage: Bacteria; Bacillati; Chloroflexota; Anaerolineae; Anaerolineales; Anaerolineaceae. The record is from RNAcentral.
ACCCGCACAAGCAGCGGAGCGUGUGGUUUAAUUCGUUGCUACACGAAGAACCUUACCUGGGUUUGACAUAUAGGUUGUAGGGAACUGAAAAGGGACCGACCUUCGGGAGCCUAUACAGGUGUUGCAUGGCUGUCGUCAGCUCGUGUCGUGAGAUGUUCGGUUAAGUCCGCUAACGAGCGCAACCCUCGUCGUAUGUUAUAUGUGUCAUACGAGACUGCCGGUAAAAGCCGGAGGAAGGUGAGGAUGAUGUCAAGUCAGCAUGACCUUUAUAUCCAGGGCUACACACACGCUACAAUGGUCUGUACAAUGGGUAGCCAAGCCGCGAGGCGGAGCCAAUCCUGAAAGCAGGCCUCAGUUCAGAUUGCAGUCUGCAACUCGACUGCAUGAAGCCGGAGUUGCUAGUAACCGCAGGUCAGCAAUACUGCGGUGAAUACGUUCCCGGGUCUU